CCAUUGAUUAGUUCCUAGCUGAAUGCACCGUUAGGAGGUGGGGCCUCGUUGGAAGAGGUGGGCCGUUGGAGGUGUGCCUUUGAAAGAUUUAUCUCUGGCUCUGACUCUCUUCCUUGCUCUCUGCUUCUGGAAGCCAUGAGGUGAGCAGUUUUCCUCCACCAGACCCUUCCCUCCACCAUGGUGUUUCUGCGUUUGAGUCAACUAACCAUGGACUGAAACCUCUGAAACCAUGAGCCAAAAUAAACCUCUCCUCCUUUAAACUGCAGGUGUCAUGUAUUUUGUCCCAGCAGCAGAACGCUGAUCAAUACACAAAAUAAAGUCACAAAUCCUGUAGAAGACCCAGAUUUUCAUUAAAUUAUUUGUAGUGAUAAUGGCUCCUUUAUUGGCAAAGAUUUGACAACUGGAGAUCUGGCAGAAGCUGGUUAAUUAAAAAUCAAAGAAGAGAAAGAAAUGGAUGAUGGUCUCAUAGGUAGAAUUUGCUUUCUAAGACUGCUAAGGUAGUAGCUGAGUAUUUAAAGAAUGGUCGGCUUUAUAAUCUUACUUCAUGUAAAGGAUAACAGGAAAGAUGUCUGAGUUCAUAGGAGCUUUAGAAAUCUUUACUCUGGCCGUCUCACUUUGGAGAUGAGGACCCAGAAGGGACAGAAAUGCUGCACGAGCUCACACUGCCUUUGUCAAUUCUUGUGGUCAUUCCGGCCAUGGUUGUGACUGAGUCCUGUCUUCUCACACCCACCUUCCCGAUCAGGGAGUCCGGGUGGCUCCUCUUCUGCAGCAUCCUGGGAAUCUGACCACUUCUCACCUCUGCCUUCCCCAAAGCCCAUCCUCCCUCCUCCCACCGCUGGGUCAUAGCCAUGAUUUUCCAACUGGCUGUCCUCCAUCUGGGGUCAUUUACAAAGGUCCCACCCAUUCCCCCUCUGCUCGGACCUCCCCUGGCUCCUCCUGUCCCCCAGAGUAGCAUCCCAAGUCCCCACUGUGGUUAGAAGGCCGAGGUAAGUCCUGCCUGGCUCUUUGAUGUCAUCCCCGUGACCUCACUGGUGUCCAGGCUUGGGGCUCUGUGCUGUCCUGCCCUGCCCUCAGCCUGCUCCCUUUGCAGCCUCCUCCCUCAUGAACCUCACCUUCUUUGGUUUUUGUCACAGGGCCCCAAGCACCUACUUCUGAGCACCCCAUCUUGUCACUCUUUCAUACUGAACUUCUCUGCAUAAGAAAGAUGAUGUGUUUGUGUGUUCAUCUGCCUCCUUCCUGUUCUUCAGUCAUCUGCAUCUCUUUUGUUCAAACACUGACACAGUGAAGACUCCAAACUAAUGCUUGAAUCAACAAAGAAAUAAAUAACAUUAAUACAGAAGUGAACAAAUGAUAGGACCUAUAUUGAUGUUUCCUGUAAGAAUUUGUUUUAAAAAUCAGAGUGCUUUGCCAGGUGGGCCGAUCCCUGGCUGCAGUUCCCGGAACCUCCCCUAGCAGCAGCCUGCGCCGUGUGAACCCGGGCUGUUUCCAAGCCUCACUCAGUGGCCAGAGGCUCUGCUCUCAGGCCCUUGGGACCCAAGGGGUAAAGGGGCUCAUGGGAACCACAGGGGCCCAAGAUUCCAGGGAUGCUGGGCAUCUGGCUCCCCUGGAGCCUUCAGGCAGGGAAGAUGCAGCUUACAAGGACGGGAUGAUUUUACUUUUAUUCUAAGUUUAGAGUUUAGGGAAUGAUGUUCUGGUCAGUGUUUACUGAUGCCACUUCUGGGCUUCUAGCUCCUCUAUUUUUACUCCCACAUUGUGGCCGGGAAGGAAGAGAGAAAUUCCACCAAAGACUGGCAUUGGGAAAAGAGGAUGCAGUUCCUGGUCACUCAGCUUUCUUGGAACUUUGGUGCCAGUGCGUGCUGAUGUGGGGGAUAUGUACAAUGCAGGGCGUGUAUAUGAGAUAUAAAGAGACCCGGGCAGAGGAGAGAUGCACAUAUGCAGUGCUAUUUGCAGACAUUUGUUUUGAAAAUUUGGAAUACAUCGAAGGACUGAAGAUUUUUAAAUUCAUAUCAACUAGCAUUGGGGUGGGGGGCUUGAUUUGACUUGAAGGGAGUCAGCCCAGAGCGGAAGCAGUGGUUACAGCUGAAGGAGGCCAAGCCAUGCCUCAGAAAAGCUGGUCUUGUGCCCCAAGAGAGGCUGGUUGGGGUGGUCCCAGAGCAGGGUAAGACUGCAGCCCAGGGACCAGGCCGAGUCUCUCUUCUCAAGGGAGCACAGGUGUUGGGGUGUGGAAGAUGCCUCCAGCUUGAUGUUUGAUUCUGUUUGCUCCCUUUAAUUUCAGAGCCAGCAUGAUUUAACUCAUUUGGUGGCAGCUGACCGGAGACUCUGGGGCCUAGCAGGAGAUGUUCAGGGUAAAGAGAGGCUGUCCUGGCCCAGCCUCCUGCCCCUGAAGAGCAGCUUGGGAAGUCAGUGCUGAAAUUCGCCUCCUGCCCUCCGCUCUGCCCCAUAAACAUUUGCUUAUUCUAUUGUGCAGGGUGGACUUGCCGUGCCACGGAAUGAAAGCAAGCCUGGCCCCCUUCUCACUGAUUGAAAGACGGAGCCACUGACAGCCAUCUCCAGCAGCUUCCUUGCUGGCGGGGGUUCCUCCAUUAACAGCAAUGAAAAUAAUUUGGGAGAACAUAAGCCCAUCGAAUGCUGUUGCUGUCCUAUGCAUUGCACCAAAUGAGGAGAAGCCCGGUGAGCUCCAUCGUUUGUCACACGGAAGCAUAACACAGUAGCGGGGUUGCCGGCAUCUGGAGUUGGUGGCAGUAGACGGUGUGGCAGCAACCAGGGCACUGAGACCUGGGACCAGGGCGCACAUUUCACGGGUCUCUGUGCAGGUGAUUUGGCUGGGUUUUCCUUUAGCUUGAGGGCUUCGGGAGGGAGCAGCUGCGUGCAUCUUCUCCACAGGGAACCCCGGGGACCUGUGCUUGGCACAGGUAACCUGCCUAAGGCUGACUGAGGAGGACCUAACUCCGGCCCUGUGACCUCCUGGGGUGGCAGCAGCUCGGAGGCGGCUCCUCCCUAAUUCACAGGGAAGUGCUGCAGGCCGAGGUUGCUUCCGGACUGCGGACUGCGCUUGAGAGGCUGGACGUGGAACAGUGUCCUCUCUGUCCUCCUGAGUGUUAGAAAUCCUUCGAGGCCCUAGUUUGAUUUAUCUGACAGCUGCACUCUGUCUUCACAUGGACUGUCAGGAGGCUUAGAAUUGGGUCGGAGCCACAAGUUUCCUGGCCUCUUUGAGUAUGGUUGUGACACCUUGCGAACUGAUGAAUUUGAGGACACAGCGCUGCCUCGACUGAGUCCGCCUACUUUGGGGGUUUUAGAAGUUCAGAUUCAUUCCACAAAUUUGACUGAAGAUGCUGCUGUGUGCCAGGCACAUGGCCAGGGUGACAGGCGGGGCUCCCAUGCUGAUUAGGGAGCAGGCACAGGCAUCUCUAGGUGAACAACUAAGCAAGGUGACUGCAGCUGGGACAAGUGCCAGACAAGAAGGAAGCACGAUGCUGGCCUGGAGUUGGGGUGUGUUGGGGGAGGGGGUUCUUCAGGCAGAGAGAGCAGGGAAGUCAGCGAACAGAGUUAAUUCACACGGUGCAAAUUAAGCCUUCAUCUUGGUGCCUGACACACAGUAAAGCCCUAACUCGCUAUCACUGCUACGGCUGUUAUUGGUGUCGUCAUCUCUCCGUUAUGUGUGCUUCUGCUGGGCGAAGGCAAGGGGAAUACAUUGCCGGAAUUCCAGGAAACGAUGAAGACUUUGCAAAGGUCCCAGCAGUGGAGGGGUGGAGAACUCCAUGCCCUAAGGUGUCUCCUCUCUUCCUUCUCUGGCGGUACCGAGGGGCUUGGUGGUCCAUCGUACGUGGGCACUCUCUGUCCAAACCAGCAUCUCCAAGCCUUAAUUUGCUGCAACGGCCCAAGAUUUAAACGUCUACAUUUUCCUGGUUGGUAUUGUAGUGCAAAUAUCGAUUCCUUUCUGUGCAAGUCCUGACUUCACGUGGGGGCAGUGACUAGUGAACGGCCCGUCCUCGCGGAGUAAAUAUGCCGUGUACAGCAGUCGUUGAACGAUUACCGUGCAGCCCAGCUGUCUUAACGCUAAGAGUGCCCGCUUUGCUUCUGGUACAGUCUGCCUGUGUGGCGGAAGAGGGGGGAAGGCUUUGUGCAGGGGCUGGGGCUUUGGGAGAAGGUGAUGGGCUCACUUCGCGUCUUCCAGGAGCCCUGUGAGGCAGGUAAGAAGAGUAUCUGAGCUCACCUGGUCGAAGACGGCGAAAGAGCAGCAGGCUUGGUCCUCCCCACAACUCCAGCCUUGGAUACCUAAGGGAAUCCACUUGUGACGCUAUUACCCAGUAAAUUAGGAGAGCGGUUCAGUCAGGUAGAUUGAUCAUGAAGAGAACUAAAGACAAUUAACACACUGCGUUGAGUGCAAAGUGCACCCGCAGCACUUAGCUCAUUUCCAAUUAGCACAAAUGUCACAGCGCCGCGGGCUGGUUAUGGGUUUACCAUGGGCUGGGUAAUUAAUUUCUGUGAGCCACGUAUCGGGCACCUGGUAAUGCCGUUUGUUAAUAAACGUCACCCCAGGUAUCGGUUUGUUAGAAGACGUAAAUAAAUGGA
This is a long non-coding RNA of Heterocephalus glaber (naked mole-rat), 4572 nucleotides long. RefSeq lists it as uncharacterized. NCBI's taxonomy places the organism in Eukaryota, Metazoa, Chordata, Mammalia, Rodentia, Bathyergidae. The record is from RefSeq and is a predicted model, not a curated record.